UAGCGACGGGGAACCAACACGCCUGCGCGAGAUUUAAAGCGGGACGCGACUACGCGCCUCAGCUCACGUGAAUCGCAGGACUAGGUGUGCGCCACCCCACUUCCCCCGACCCGGAAGGAGUUAUAGCAAUAUCGAAAGACCCGUAAAUUUCCGUGGGAAGAGAGGUUGAUGACGCAAAAGACAGGGGAGGACGACGCGCAGAAAUACCCGCUCCUAAAGAAACAGACACAUUUCCAGACCUCAAAGUGCUAGAUGCUUCUGUCUUCAAGGACUUUAAGGACGAAUUUUGGCGUCUGUUGAUUGCUCCGCUUCCUUUAAAUUCUUAAACUAUAGAUAAUGUUGCUAGUUGGAUCCUAGGACCCUCUUUUCACCCUCUAUGCUCCCUUGCUCGCCAGCCCCUCUUUUCCCUCUUUGUGUUUGUGUGUGCUAGAGAGUGCAUGUGAGGAGAUAGUCCUCUGUCACCCUCCACCUUCCUUUUCGACCCAAGGUCUCACUGAACCUGGAGCUCACAAUUGCCUAGACUGGCGCCUGCUGUGUUCCCUGAGAUUAAUGGUGCUGGUUACAACUGACUUUUAUAGUUCCAGCUUUUCAUAAAGGUGGUUGGCGAUCAGAAUUAAGGUCUUGCUGAUGCCUGUGCAGCAGUCUGCCCACCAAGCCAACUCAGGUCUCUCGUUUCCAUCCACCGUCAUCCUGGCUGCCCACAACAUAUAGCCCCUGUCUGUUAUCAUCUGUGUUGUGAAUUAAAUCACGAAUUCUUCAUAGAACCCCCCAAAUGUAUGCAAUUCAGAUCUCUUCUUCGAGUUCCUGACUUCCAUACAAACCACUCAUUUCAAGAAGAAAAGUAUGUGUUUGGUAGUUUUGCCUGCUUGUGUGUCCCGGUACCACGUGGGUGCCUGGUGCCCUUCCAGGUCAGAAGUUAUGGUAUUCCCCAGAACUAGAGUUCAAACGGUUGUGAGGUCCUGUAUGGAUGCUGGCUCUCCAGCCCAGGUCCUCUGGAAGACUAUCAAGUAUUCUUAGCCACUGAACCAUCACCCCAGCGCCUCUAGAUCUCUGGUUGCCUGAAAUGUAGUUGAUUUUACUUACUAAAAAUCUCUCAGACUUAUUUCUGUCUCUGCUAAUUACAACCCUCAUUCCAGUUAUUCUGUCUAAACUCCCGGAACACUUUCCUAAUAGGUUUUCUGAUUUUGAGUUUUUUUUUUCCUCCACCUACACAAUGAAAGCUGAAUGAUCAUUGAAUAACACAUGACACCCUCUAAGUUAGUGCCUUUGUCUCUUAUUGCCCAUUGUUACCUUCUUUUUCUUUUGUACUUUGAAAUUUUAUUUUUACAAAAUUCCAUUUUAUCAAAUAUCCCUGCUAAAUCCAUUUAGCAACAACUGCCAUUUUGAUAAUCUAGUUAUCCAUAUUCAGUUGGAUUUUUUUAAACCAUCUUUUACCACCCUCCAGGUGAUGUCUGAUCGUCUUGAUUGGUGUGUAUAUAUAAGAUCCCUUUCUCAUUGCUGUGGCCAAAUACCCUACACAAGCAGCUGAAGAGAAGUGGUUCUUUUGGCUCCCAGUUUGAGGCUACAAUCCUUCAAGGCCUGCAAGGUGUGGUGGCUGAAAAUGGAUUUGUCUAGUCGGGAAGCCAAGAGUUGAAGGCUGGGGCUCAGUUUACUUUAUCCUUUGUUUCAGUCUGGGACUCCAGUCUAUGGGAUACUGCAGUCCACAGUCAGGCCGAGUCUUCCCCUUUCAGCUAAACUUCUCAGGAAAUGCCCUGACAGACACACCUAAGCAUGUGUCUCCUAGGUGAUUUCAAAUCUAGUCAGGUUGACAGUGAAGAUUAACCACCCUAUCUGUCUUCAGUAAAACCUGUUAGGUAGGCGUAGCCAGAAGUCCACACACCCUGAUACUUCCUCACAGCUAUGAUAUUAAAUAGAAAGGGAAGUUGCAGAAGUAUUUACGCUAUAAUUCCACUUAAUUAUUAAAAGCAAGCAAAACUAUGAUAUUUUAAAUAAAUAGAUUAUAAAAGUAAAAAAAUGCAUGAGAAUAAUGCAAAACUCAGGGUAGCAUUUUCCUGUGGAGGCAGAGUAUGACAGGGAGGAAUACUGUAGCAGUUCCAAUGUAAUUGGCCUUCAUAAUAUCACAGGUAGUGGCACUUGUAGGAAAUGUGACUUUGUUGGAGUAGAUAUGGCCUUGUUGGAGGAAGUAUGUCACUGUGGGGGUGGGCCUUGAGGUUUCCUGUGCUCAGAAUAUCACCAGCGAGUCAGCUGACUUCCUCUUACCUGCACGAUGUAGCAUCCUCAGCUCCAUCACCAUGUCUGCCUGCACGCUGCCGUGCUCCCCAUCGCGAUAAUGGACGGAACCUCUGGAACUGUAAGUGAGACACCCCAAUUAAAAGUUUUCCUUACCAGCUCGAGCAGUGGCUCAGAGUGGUAGGAGCGUCUAACGCUGUGUCCUGGCGCGGUGCCAAGGUUCACGGGUUAGAAUCCCGCCUGCUCUAGCUGCUAUCGAUCGUCAUGGUCACUGCUAUAUGAUCAAUCGAUGGUGAAAUUGGCAUAUCGCUGCUAAUAAUAAUCGGAAAAAAAAAGUUUUCCUUAUAAGAGUUGCCGUGGUUAUGGUGUCUCUUCUUAGCAAUAGUAACCCUAACUAAGACAAGUACCUGGGGAACUCUAAUUUCUUAGAUCAAGUGAUGGGUCCAGGCUAUUCAUUUUAUUAAUCUUGGUAUUGCCUGAACUAUUUUAUAACAAAAGUACAUUAAUUCAAAAUUUAUUGUUAUAUUUCAGGUGUGGAAAAAGUAUAAUUUUGCAUAACUUUAUUUUCUUCUUUUUAUUUAUUUAUUUUUGGGACGAGGUUUUAUUUUGCAGUCCAGACUGACUUCAGAUUCACAGCAAUCCCCCUGUUUCAGCCUCCCAUAUUCUGGAAUCCAGGUUUGAAUCACCAUGUGCAGAUUGCUCAGCACUCAGGAACAGAAAACUGAAGCCUACUGAAGAUGCCUGUGUGUCCAGACAAGACGAUGAAGGAAAGGGUGAGGACAUUGCUUAGUCCGGUCAGAGAAGAUCCUGAUGGAGGAGAAGAUUGAACUGUCUUCAAACCAUAAAAAUUGAGCCUCCAUGAAUGGAAUUCUAUGUCCAACGUGAAAUUUCAAUUGUAGGAAGAAUCAUUUAAAAGGACUUAUGUCGGGAAAUAAUGCUAUGCUUACAUAAAGAGUGACAAUAAGCCCAAGUCACAAAGGAAAAUUUGUACCGCUGUCUCAACUCCUGCUUCUCUGACCCUCGGAGAAACUUCAAAUAGACACUUUUGCUUUGAAAUCAAUAGGAAGCUUCUAGCUGUUGUUUAAAAUGAAGACCACACAGAAGUCAUCCCAGUUCCUCCUGUUUUAGGAAGGAGUUUUGCUCAUCACAGGAUGCAUGGACACAUCCAUUCCUCCCCUGGCAUCAGAGCCUACUUUUUAAAGAUUAUACCAUACGCUGCAGACCAGUUGAGAGGUUCAGUCUUCUGGCCUGAGCAACUCCUGGAUUCUUGGACUUUCCAUCCAUAGCCAGUCAUUGUUGGGGACUGCUGGGGAGGCACCAUCCCAACUCUCCACCUUCACUGAGCAGGAGCAGGAGGUGAAAGAGGUGGAGGAUCUCAUCAUUCAGAUAGAGAGUAUGAAAUAUGAGCAAAUUGAGCUGUGUGGAUUCAUGACCAAUUUUUACUACAAAGAUUUGAACAACAGGUAGCUGUUUAUGCCCAGUUCUCUGCUGACCAUCUUGAUCCCACAGUGCCAAGUCAAGAUUUCCUGAGGAAUAGGAGGCUGAACCUCAGAGGGUCCUGUGCCUAAACUAAUUUUCCUGAAUGCUUCAGAAAGUCAGAAUUUGCAAUCUGGGUAGCUAUGAGAUGAGGAACCGGGUUAUUCUGCUUCCUCCAAAUAAAAAACAGAGCCUGUGACCUGAAUCACACUCCAGGGAUAGGGACAGCAGUGUGUCAGCUUUCAACAUGCCUUAAAAGAGGCCUUGGCAGGUUUUGGUUUGUGAGACAUGCUAGGUCCUGUGAGUUUGUGGUGAGUCUUUGUGCUUGACCAGCAGAUGACUGUGUGCUGAAAAUUCCUGGCAGCAGCUGAGGGGCCUGGUCCCAUCCAUCUAUAUCAGUGUGUUGCUGGAAGGCCCAGAGUUCAUCACUGCUCCUCUCUGGUCUUGUUCUUUAUAAUUUGAGUCCGUGCCACCUCCAUACACUUCAUGGGCAACCUGAUUGUAGGUGUGGGUGGGUGGGGGGAUAGAGGAAUAUGUGGGGAGUGUGUUCUUCUGGGAGCCUGAGGUCUUUGGCAGAGACUGAGGUUUUGGCAUCCUCACAGUUUCUAGGGGAUGCCAGUGCUGAAGCCAGGGAGCCACACUUUGAACAGCACAGCUCUUGGUCACUGUGCUCUACUUGGUGCAGCAUUGGAACCCCCUGUGGA
Molecule: non-coding RNA, 4409 nt
Organism: Myodes glareolus (Bank vole)
Lineage: Eukaryota; Metazoa; Chordata; Mammalia; Rodentia; Cricetidae
Source: RefSeq, a predicted model, not a curated record